Molecule: ribosomal RNA, 479 nt
Filed under: uncultured bacterium
Lineage: Bacteria
Description: bacterial SSU rRNA
Rfam family: Bacterial small subunit ribosomal RNA
Source: RNAcentral
AGAGUUUGAUCCUGGCUCAGGAUGAACGCUAGCUACAGGCUUAACACAUGCAAGUCGAGGGGCAGCAUGGUCUUAGCUUGCUAAGGCUGAUGGCGACCGGCGCACGGGUGAGUAACACGUAUCCAACCUGCCGUCUACUCUUGGACAGCCUUCUGAAAGGAAGAUUAAUACAAGAUGGCAUCAUGAGUCCGCAUGUUCACAUGAUUAAAGGUAUUCCGGUAGACGAUGGGGAUGCGUUCCAUUAGAUAGUAGGCGGGGUAACGGCCCACCUAGUCUUCGAUGGAUAGGGGUUCUGAGAGGAAGGUCCCCCACAUUGGAACUGAGACACGGUCCAAACUCCUACGGGAGGCAGCAGUGAGGAAUAUUGGUCAAUGGGCGAGAGCCUGAACCAGCCAAGUAGCGUGAAGGAUGACUGCCCUAUGGGUUGUAAACUUCUUUUAUAGAGGAAUAAAGUCGGGUAUGCAUACCCGUUUGCAUGU